AUUGAUUCGGAACACCCGGAUUUAACCUCACAAGUCGAACAAUCGCCUGAAGUUUUCGCCGCGUCGGUGGGCUUCGGUUCGCCGCGCCGGUCAGUCGCCAAACGCGUCGCGUCGCGAAUCUGAAACGCGUUCGACGUUUCUCGCGAUUAUUACUGUAUGUUCUAUGUACGUAUGUACGUACAUAGAAAAGUGAAUCUCGCGCGGAAGAAACAAUUAUCGCGAGGCCGAUUUUUCGCGGUAGGUUAUCGGACGACGUUCGUCGUAACGCGAUGGACAAUGUCGGUGAUCGCGACGCGCGCGGGUCGAUGUUUUCUGAAUGCUGUGGCGUCGUUUCGAGUUUCAACGAUCGCCGAUAUAUAUGUUGCUUUUCUAUAGACGUAGAUUUGAAAUUGAUUACGGAAUCGCAACGUAUCGAACAGAUCAUUUUCACAUCGCUCCAUGUUUCCGACGAUCGUCGACGCGAAAAAUGUACGCAUCUCACGUGGAAGAAGCAAAUAAUCGCGAGUGCCUUUCGCAGUAUCGGACGGUUUCGUCGUAAGUGGACAUGUCGGCAAUCGCGGCGCGUGCCGAUAUCGCGACGCUUUCCGAAUGCUGCGCGUCGUUUCCACGGUUCAACGAUCGCCUUGUUUUUUCAUAAAUUUUGAAUUCGAGAUUGAUUACGGAGUCGCAACGCCUCGAACAGAUCGUUUUCACAUCGCUCCGUAUUUCUGACGAUCGUCGACGCGUAAAAAUGUGUACGCAUCUCACGGGGGACAGAAACAAUCGCGAGUGUCUUUCGCAACGAACGGUCUACGAGAUCGUACGUAUAUUAAACGUGUGGCCGCUUGCAUACGUUUUGGGACUAUGGUUGACACCCGUGAUGUGCGCCCGUGAUCUUCGCCUGGAAUUGAUUGAGUCUUCCCGUUAUUUUUUCACUGGAGUGCCAACGAAAACGCAGCUAUCACAUCAAGUUUUGUCCGUCUUGACACCACUGUGAGUCAUUCCGAAAUCGCGCAGCUUAUUCCCAGAAGGCAACCAGUUUUGAGUGUUUAAGUGCAAUGAAGGAAUUCUGAGAGGAGGAGGAGGCCUGGAAGGCAUCGGGCAACAGCGGAACAACCAUGGA
This is a long non-coding RNA of Wasmannia auropunctata (little fire ant), 1102 nucleotides long. RefSeq lists it as uncharacterized. NCBI's taxonomy places the organism in Eukaryota, Metazoa, Arthropoda, Insecta, Hymenoptera, Formicidae. The transcript has 3 exons. The record is from RefSeq and is a predicted model, not a curated record.